UGGGGCAGAGGGGCUGGAAAGCUGCCCAGUGGAAAAGGAUCUAGGGGUGUUGGUCAAGAGGGUUCUGAAUAUGAGCCAGCAGGGUGCCCAGGUGGCCAAGAGGGCCAGCGGCAUCCUGGCUUGUAUCAAGAAUGGUG
Molecule: long non-coding RNA, 137 nt
Organism: Egretta garzetta (little egret)
Lineage: Eukaryota; Metazoa; Chordata; Aves; Pelecaniformes; Ardeidae
Exons: 3
Source: RefSeq, a predicted model, not a curated record